GGGUCAUUAGGUUGGUCGUGCCACCGGUACGUACUGGUCUCACUGAUUCCUCCUUCCUGAAGAACCGUAAUGCCAUUAAUUUGGUGUUGCGGGGAAACAGGACUGUUACUUUGAAAAAAUUAGAGUGUUUAAAGCAAGCUAGCGCUUGAAUACAUUAGCAUGGAAUAAUGAAAUAGGACGAUCGAUCCUAUUUUGUUGGUUUCUAGGAUUGACGUA
RNAcentral lists this ribosomal RNA (216 nucleotides) under Glomeromycotina sp. RNAcentral's name for it is "partial small subunit ribosomal RNA". The stretch from base 40 to 216 matches the Rfam family "Eukaryotic small subunit ribosomal RNA", at positions 686 to 864 of the family's 1831-position model. The record is from RNAcentral. Lineage: Eukaryota; Fungi; Glomeromycota.